RNAcentral lists this transfer RNA (73 nucleotides) under Mesotaenium endlicherianum. Its description in RNAcentral is "tRNA-Thr (TGT) (tRNA-Thr-TGT-4-1)". It matches the Rfam family "tRNA". Rfam says of the family: Transfer RNA (tRNA) molecules are approximately 80 nucleotides in length. Their secondary structure includes four short double-helical elements and three loops (D, anti-codon, and T loops). Lineage: Eukaryota; Viridiplantae; Streptophyta; Zygnematophyceae; Zygnematales; Mesotaeniaceae. The record is from RNAcentral. RNAcentral also lists the same sequence under 3 other names.
GCCGAAGUAGCUCAGUUGGUAGAGCAACUGAUUUGUAAUCAGUAGGUCGCGGGUUCGAGUCCCAUCUUCGGCU